UUGUUUUCCAGGAGGAUCUUCAGCACCUUCAUGAAAAUAGAUUUGCCUGAAUCUAUUCAGAACAGCUGCACUACAUAAGUGGAUGCUCUUAGUUUCAAGCUGAGCUAUCCACUCACGCACAUAGAGUGCUAUGUGUGUAAAAUAGCCAUCGGAACACCAGGAAUUGACGCACAAGAAAUGGCCAUGUGGCAGUGGUGCGGACAGUCACAGAGACUCCCAAAGGACACAUGAUGUUGACUUUAUGGCUUCAGUGCUUCACACCACCCAAUGAAGAACAUUCACAAUUCUUUCUGACUUUAUGGCUGCAAGUUGCACUUUUUACAGCAGCAGAAGCAUCAGCCUACUUACCAAAUGUGGAUAUUCAAUUGAAAGCUGAAAUCAUCCUAGACCAAGAUCCUCCAGCCUCACCUCUCAUUCCAGCCACCUCUAUGGCCACCUGUCCAAGGUCUGCUUCAGCCAGUUCGGCGCAGGAGCAAACUUUCUCCCUGUGUGCCUCUCACUACCUGCCUUGUUUCUCUGCCAACUUCAGGUAGGAACACCUAUGGAAACCUGCUCAAUUCUUCUAUCAGUCAGGGUUCAAUCAGAGGAGAACCAUCAGGAAGUUUUAUAGACAUUUCCAUUUGUUAUAAGGAUUUGACCUUAUACA
Canis lupus familiaris (dog) is the source of this 646-nucleotide long non-coding RNA. RefSeq lists it as uncharacterized. Lineage: Eukaryota; Metazoa; Chordata; Mammalia; Carnivora; Canidae. The transcript has 3 exons. The record is from RefSeq and is a predicted model, not a curated record.